GCCCGGCUGGCGCAAUUGGUAGCGCGUAAGACUUCUACAACACGGUCUUCUCGAGUCAUGAGAGUUCUGGAUGUUCAUCUUAAGGUCGUGGGUUCGAGCCCCACGUCGGGUG
Molecule: non-coding RNA, 112 nt
Organism: Podospora aff. communis PSN243
Lineage: Eukaryota; Fungi; Ascomycota; Sordariomycetes; Sordariales; Podosporaceae
Source: the annotation of a GenBank genome assembly